CAGGGAAAACCCCGGUUUAGAAGCCCCCUGGCAGCACGAUGGACACUCCCAGCCUUAGGAGUGAGGAAAGAAUUGAGGAUCAACCUUCUUGUGGAUUAGGCCCUUCCAGCAUGUUGGGUCCAAGAUAUAUUUGGUGUCUUUCAUUUUUGCUUUUAUUAUAGAAUCAGUAACCUUUUUUUACUAUGAUUGAGGAAUGGAGGAAAAAAAAUAUAUGUUACUAAUUGUGGAAUCAAAAGAUUUUAAAUGCUUGUGUAGAUCAUGGGUUUUAAUAAGUAUUUUGUAUAACCCUUCAUGGGCUUUUGCUAAUUGAUCUUAAUGGAUUGAGAUUAGAGGUUAGAGAUAAGGUUUCAGAGAUGGGUUUAUAGGGAAUGGGGUGAGGGAGAGGAUGAAGAGUUUCUUGGUUUUAUUUUAAGAGAGAUUUAUAAGUUGUUAAUUUUCAUUAUACUUUUUGGGGAUAAAGGUGGGUAUUUCUUUUUUUCCUUGUGUUAGUUUUAUAAGUUUAAAUGUUAUCUUCUAUGAAACUAUUACUAAAAGAAGAAGCCUGCAUCCUGAGAUGUUUGUCACUAAAAUCGUUCAUGCAUUUUAAUUGAUUAUUGCACAGUUAAUUGAACAUAUAUUUGAUCAUUCAAAGUUUGACAGAUAAUCAGUAUAACGAGUGAAACAUUCAGACUCUGAUUUUUUUUAAUAGAUUGUCAUUUAUGGAUUUUCAUGCUUUAGAAAAACAGAGCAUGAGAUCCAUUGCACAGCCGGGCUGCUGGCUCCUUUAAUAAUUGCACUUAGAUUAUAAGUUUGUCAAAGUUGUUUGCUGAAAAUAAAUGGGUUUUUUCCCCUCUUA
This is a long non-coding RNA of Crotalus tigris (Tiger rattlesnake), 835 nucleotides long. RefSeq lists it as uncharacterized. The record is from RefSeq and is a predicted model, not a curated record. Lineage: Eukaryota; Metazoa; Chordata; Lepidosauria; Squamata; Viperidae. The transcript has 2 exons.